Molecule: long non-coding RNA, 1260 nt
Filed under: Homo sapiens (human)
Lineage: Eukaryota; Metazoa; Chordata; Mammalia; Primates; Hominidae
Description: HSALNT0097929
Source: RNAcentral
GGGAUGGAGUCCCCUGCAGUUCUAGGUUUUGCAUGGGACCGAGUGGACCCUCAGCGCCUCACUCCUCAAUGGCUAUAGGGUAGCCCUCGGGCUGCAGAGGCUUUGCGGGCAGAUGGGGUUAGAACUGCUGGAGAGGAGGGAGAAGGGCCGACAGCAGAAACCAGAGCGUCCUGUGAGAUGAAGAAAAGGCCGGGAACCUGUGGCCUGGAGUGCACAGGACUCACACUGCUGUAUGGAGCUUCAGACUGUCCGUGGGACCGAGCCUUUCCCUGAGGCCUCUGAGUGGCAGCUCUCUCAACAGCCUCUGAGUUCCUCCCCUAUAUAAACUGCGAAAUUUACAAAUCCAGGUCAUGAACCUCCUGAGAAAUUGGAUCCCUGUUCCCAUGUGGCAGCAACUAGAGAAGCUCCGUGGCAGCUUGACCUGAGGUCAAAUAGUCAGAUGAAGCACAAUGUGGAUGGCUUGGGUUUCUAUUCCAUGAGUCUGCAGCCUCAUCUGGGAAGACUGGAACGACUGGGGGCUGGAAGUGUCUGGAGCCUGGGCCGAAAUGACUCAGAGACUGGACUCAGUUGGAACUGUCAACAGGAACAACUUCAUGCGGCCUCUCCACCUGGCUUGGGCUUCCUCACAGCAUGGUGGCCUCAAGGAUAGUUGGACUUCUUACAUGACAGCACAAUUCUCAAAGGCAAGAGUUACAGCAAACCAGGCUGAAGCUGGAUAGCCUUUUAUGAGCUAAUCUUGGAAGUCAUAUAGCAUCACCUCCAUUGCACCCUGUUGGUCAGAGCAGCCCAAGCCCUUCUAGAUUCAGGGGGAAGGACUUAGAGUCAUGGACACAGACGUAGACCUGCACUCCAUAGGAGGAAUGUCAAAGGAUUUGCAGCCACGUUUUAAAACCACCACAGUGAGUUACAUCCACUAAUAGGAAACCAGAUUUCCCUUAGAUCUAGUUUUGGGAAUACACUUCACUUGACUGUCAACACUCGGCGCUUCCAUCAAGUACAGGAUGAGGUCCAAAUCCCUUGGCAUGAAAACCAAAGUCCUUCCUAGCCUGGUUCCAGCCUGCAUUCCAGCAUCCAUCCUUGGUUGUCUGCAUUCCCGCAAGUUGGCUAAAUGCGCUCACACAAGCAUGCCACUGUGGUUCUGAGGACUGUGGCCCUCAGGGGGACACACUUUUGUUUCCUUUCUUUUCUUUUUUUGUUCUUUUUUUUUUGAGACAGGGUCUCGCCCUGUCGUCCAAGCUAGAGUGCAGUGGCACAACCAGG